AUUGAACGCUGGCGGCAGGCCUAACACAUGCAAGUCGAGCGCGCGGCGGACGGGUGAGUAAUGUCUGGGACCCUGCCUGAUGGAGGGGGAUAACUACUGGACACGGUAGCUAAUACCCCAUACCAUCAGAUGUGCCCAGAUGGGAUUCGCUGGGUGGUGGGGUAAGGGCUCACCCAGGCGACGAUCCCUAGCUGGUCUGAGAGGAUGACCAGCCACACGGGAACUGAGACACGGUCCAGACUCCGACGGGAGGCAGCAGUGGGGAAUAGUGCACAAUGGGCGAAAGCCUGAUGCAGCCAUGCCGCGUGUGUGAAGAAGGCCUUCGGGUUGUAAAGCACUUUCAGCGGGGAGGCGUUACCCGCAGAAGAAGCACCGGCUAACUCCGUGCCAGCAGCCGCGGUAAUUC
This 406-nucleotide ribosomal RNA is filed under the name uncultured bacterium. RNAcentral describes it as "partial 16S ribosomal RNA". It matches the Rfam family "Bacterial small subunit ribosomal RNA", at positions 29 to 526 of the family's 1533-position model. The record is from RNAcentral.